This is a long non-coding RNA of Paramisgurnus dabryanus, 722 nucleotides long. RefSeq lists it as uncharacterized. The record is from RefSeq and is a predicted model, not a curated record. Lineage: Eukaryota; Metazoa; Chordata; Actinopteri; Cypriniformes; Cobitidae.
UGUCCAAACAUUUGACACUUUUUACAAAAUAAUAGCAAUAUUGUUCUAAAAAUAUAAAUUUUUAUUUAAUAUAAUUAAGACAUAAUUAAAAGUGUAUUCUGUGUUUUUAGUUUUAUUUAAAGCAAACAAAAUUUUUAAACGAACUCCCUUUUUAAUUAUGCACAUUGUUGUCAUUAAACCUGUCUAUAAACAAAAAGUAGACAAAAUGGUAGUGUUAUUAAUCAGAAGGAUGAAUGAUUUAUGAACUUGUAAAAUAAAACUGACGCUAGUUCACCUACACUGGUCAUUUGUGAUCAACUCCCCCUAGUGGUGAAUCGUCGGAUUUUUGAAACGUUUCGAAACAGUUAUGACGUAAUGAAUCCUCGUUUGCUAAAAUCACGUGACUUUGGCCAGUUUGAAACAAGCUCCGAACCACUGAUUCGAAACAAAAGAUUCGUAAAUGUUUCGAAGCUUCAUGAAGCGUGCUUCGAAAUCGCCCAACACUAGCUCUGAUUGGCUGUUUCUUAGAGCAGCUCUUUUUAGUAGCUGUGUGUGCGCGUAAACAGACCAUAUGUUUGAGGCUUUAUUAGAUAAAGAUACGUCAUUUGAUGAAUAAUCAAGUCUUUGCAGAUUAUUAAUGGAUGUUUCUGAGUGUGGAAGAGUAUUCGACCGGACAGAACUGUUCCUCAUCGCUGAAGUCGACCAAAGAGGAAAGAAAAUAACGAGGUUGGAACAACAUGGGG